Molecule: non-coding RNA, 102 nt
Organism: Xylariaceae sp. FL1651
Lineage: Eukaryota; Fungi; Ascomycota; Sordariomycetes; Xylariales; Xylariaceae
Source: the annotation of a GenBank genome assembly
GGGCUUGUGGUUUAGUGGUAUAAUACUCCCUUAGCAUCGGAUCACCAAUUCGGAGAUUCACUAAGUUGGGAGUGGUCCGGGGUUCGAUUCCCCGCGAGUCCA